AGGGAAAGUGACAAUAGGGAACUUUAAAACAGGUGAAGCCGCGAAUAGCUCAUUACAACAGCCACCGGUUUACUAGAAUAUAGUUAACCUACUUGGAUAACUGUGGCAAUUCUAGAGCUAAUACAUGCAUAAAAGCUCUGCCCGCAAGGAACGAGCGCAUUUAUUAGAAUAAAAACCAAUCGGGUUUCGGCCCGUAAUUUGGUGAAUCUGAAUAACUUUGCCAAUCGCACAGUCCUAGUACUGGCGAUGUAUCUUUCAAGUGUCUGCCUUAUCAACUUUCGAUGGUAGGUUAUACGCCUACCAUGGUAGUAACGGGUAACGGAGAAUAAGGGUUCGACUCCGGAGAGGGAGCCUGAGAAACGGCUACCACAUCCAAGGAAGGCAGCAGGCGCGCAAAUUACCCACUUCCAGAACGGAGAGGUAGUGACGAAAAAUAACGAGACAGUCCUCUUCGAGGUCUGUCAUCGGAAUGGGUACAAUUUAAAUCCUUUAACGAGGAUCUAUUGGAGGGCAAGUCUGGUGCCAGCAGCCGCGGUAAUUCCAGCUCCAAUAGCGUAUAUUAAAGUUGUUGCGGUUAAAACGCUCGUAGUUGGAUCUGCGGCCUCGGAGAACGGUCCCCCGAAAGGGCGGUCACUGUCUCUCCUAGCCUAAAUUCGAGUCGUCUCUAGGUGCUCUUUACCGAGUGCUUAGAGUGACUAGAACGUUUACUUUGAAAAAAUUAGAGUGCUUAAAGCAGGCGAAAUAGCCUGAAUAAAGGUGCAUGGAAUAAUGGAAUAGGACCUCGGUUCUAUUUUGUUGGUUUUCGGGAACCUGAGGUAAUGAUUAAGAGGAACGGACGGGGGCAUUCGUAUUCCGGCGCUAGAGGGUGAUAUUCUUGGACCGCCGGAAGACGGACAACUGCGAAAGCAUUUGCCAAGAAUGA
Molecule: ribosomal RNA, 922 nt
Filed under: Labronema vulvapapillatum
Lineage: Eukaryota; Metazoa; Nematoda; Enoplea; Dorylaimida; Qudsianematidae
Description: SSU rRNA
Rfam family: Eukaryotic small subunit ribosomal RNA
Source: RNAcentral